AAGGAUCUACUCUAUACCUUCCUCCCCCCCUGUUAAGUGGGGUAGUGGUGUGACCAUUUAGUACUGCCCUUAUCAGCAACACCUGCUUGAGCUGCCCCGAAGGGAGCCCUGAUACACUGGGAAGCAAGGAAGUGAAUAUAAAGAGCAGGGCUGGCAAACACCACCCAGCAGAGAGAUGCAUCCAGCACACAGCAACACCAAAUGCAUCCAGGUGGUAGAUCUAGGGAAAAGAAACUGAACAAAACAAGUGGAUUUAGUAUCUUGUUUCUGUAGGAAGAAAAAAUAUUUUCUUCUGCCCCGAGCCUGCAGAACUGCUGUGAAGAUUAAGAAGAAACCGCGGUCUCUGGCAGGGGUUCGCGCACGGCCCCGGGAAGUGUGAGGUGGCUUUGGAGACACAAGUGGGGCUUUUGCAGGAGCCCGGGGCUGUUGCUGAGGCGGAUAGGGCUGGGGCAGAGCCUGCAGAGAAACGCCGUGCUUCGGUUUCAGGGCCGGCUCGGCAGCGCUGCCCUCGUUGGCUGCACUCUUGCCCCGUCAGCGCCGCUGCCCGCCGUGAACUUUCUCCCCGGUGAGUCACUCCCCGCCGCGCCCGGCGCCAAGGUCCCCUGCCCCGGCCCGCCAGCGCCAUGGCUGCGGGGAGCCCCGCGCCCGCCCUUCCCGCGUCCCAGCGCCUCCGCGCGCUGCUCUACGCCGUGCAGCCCAGCGAGAGCUCCUUCCGCAGCCUGCACGAGGUGCCCAGCUACGUGGACCAGGUUGUUCCACUAUUCGUUGUCUUUAUUCUUCUGGAGCUUGUUGUCAGCAGUAUUCAGAGGCACAAGCUGUCAUAUCGGAUCAAUGAUGCUAUAAGCUCUCUCUCUGCGGGUAUCCUGUCUCAGCUUCCUGAGGCUGUGUGCAGAGGUUUUGAGCUAACCGGUUAUGUCUACAUAUGGGAAAACUACAGACUCUAUGAACUGCCAUGGGACUCACCAUGGACAUGGUAUUUGACACUACUGGGAGUAGACUUUACAUAUUACUGGUUCCAUCGCCUGGCUCAUGAGGUGAAUAUAUUAUGGGCAACACACCAAACACAUCAUAGUUCUGAAGAUUACAACUUAUCCACAGCGCUGAGACAAUCUGCAGUGCAGAAAUAUAUUUCUUGGGUGUUCUACUUGCCUAUGGCUCUUAUUAUUCCUCCAUCGGUAUGUGCUGUUCAUCUACAGUUUAAUCUUCUUUAUCAGUUUUGGAUUCAUACAGAGGUAAUUGACAACCUUGGACCUCUGGAGUGGAUUCUUAAUACACCCAGUCAUCACAGAGUUCAUCAUGGGAGAAAUCCUUACUGUAUUGAUAAAAAUUAUGGUGGCACCCUCAUUAUCUGGGAUAGAAUUUUUGGAACAUUUGAGGCAGAGAAAGAAAAAGUUAUAUAUGGCCUAACACACCCUAUAAAUACAUUUGAACCCUUCAAGGUCCAGUUGCAUCACUUCACCUAUAUAUGGAGUGUAUUUUGGGCCACACCUGGUUUCUCCAAUAAGCUGUCUGUCAUAUUCAAAGGGCCAGGCUGGGGACCAGGAAAACCAAGACUUGGCCUUUCUGAGGAAAUCCCAGUGAUCACUGGAAAAGAGGUUCCCUUCAACCCAAAAUUGCCAGUUCAUCUUUGUGUCUAUGCAGUCAUACAUUUUGCCUUGAUUGUGACAUUGUAUAUUGACCUCUUUGCUGCUGCAGCUACGUUAUCGCAGGUAACAGUUCUCCUGAGGAUUGGCUAUAUUAUCCUAACAUUGACCUCCAUGGGAUUGCUUAUGGACAAAAGACCUGAAGCAGCUAGAUGGGAAACUGUCCGUUGCACAGUUUUUCUAGCUCUGCAGAAACUUGGUUAUAUAAAAACUUAUCCACCCUUGAUGUUUGCUUAUGAGAUUUCAAGAGAAAACGAGCACAUUUUUUAUUCUGAUCUGAAAAAUAAGCAAAUCUAAUUAUAGAAAAGAUGGGUAGCAGUUUUCCACCUUAGGAAUGAGAGUGGAGAAGACUGAGGCUCCCUACCAAUCUUUACAAUUGCUGAGGUGGUUGCAAGGACUCCUUUAGUUGCUGGCUACAAUUCUUCAAGCAAAAUGACUCAGAUUGGGUGGAUCUGAUGGGGAAUUAUUGAAAAGAUGAAAGAUACAACCCUUGGGGCAUCAUUGUCCUUUUGCCAGUCUCACACCCUUUGCUUCAGUUUAGUUAAUUUUUUUCAUUGACUCUCUCAAGUGGAAAAAAGAGGAGCUACUUCCUAUGCAGCAGUAGAUUAGAAGUCAGCUAGAGCUUGAGUCUUUCGCUACUGGAACACUAGCUAAUUGCUCUUCCAUUUUGGUUUGCUAGAUAUAUUGAGGCAACAGCUGCUUUAAACAAUUCCAUGGUCAUUACAGUAGGCAUUACAUUUUUCACUGAUUCAAAAGACAGCAUUCAGUUGGAUCACUGAGAACUGUCACCAAUUAUCACACAGACUGAGGGAGUUUUAGACUGCAACUGGAAUCACAUUUCAUUUCAUCUUAUUACACCCUGGGACUCAGGUGAUGACCCAAUCUUAAUAUUAUGGAUAACGGCUACACAAGUUUUGUGUUUUAUUUUCGCUCUGCAUUGUGUUCUGGGGAGUGCAAAUUAUGAAGCAGCUGACCUCAAGCACAGCUAAGCGGCUUUAAAA
This is an RNA transcript of Alligator mississippiensis (American alligator), 2644 nucleotides long. It is a transcript of the gene named alkylglycerol monooxygenase, with no coding region annotated. NCBI's taxonomy places the organism in Eukaryota, Metazoa, Chordata, Crocodylia, Alligatoridae. The record is from RefSeq and is a predicted model, not a curated record. The transcript is spliced from 14 exons.